GGCAGUGUGGCUUAAUGGUAAAGCACUUGCUUAGCAUGUUUGAAGCCCUGGGUUCUAUCCCCAGCACUGCAA
Molecule: transfer RNA, 72 nt
Filed under: Marmota monax (woodchuck)
Lineage: Eukaryota; Metazoa; Chordata; Mammalia; Rodentia; Sciuridae
Rfam family: tRNA
About the family: Transfer RNA (tRNA) molecules are approximately 80 nucleotides in length. Their secondary structure includes four short double-helical elements and three loops (D, anti-codon, and T loops).
Source: Rfam by way of RNAcentral